CAUCCGCCGUAGCGUGUACGCUCAAACGGGGGCACAGCACAAACCUGCAUCUCAGCUAGGUAUUCCAUCACAAAGUUUCUCUUCAGUGAACAGAAAUUCAAACUAUUCAGCACCCCUUCCUUUACAUGACCUACUUUCAAUCUGACACAAUGCAACGUGCUCAGAGAGGACAAUGUUAUCCUUGGCUCUAACGUGUCAAAACAUGAGUCUUGAGAACUUGUGUCUAAAGAGGUGGUGUCACUUUCUUGACAACAGAGCAGAGAUCAAACAUCCUGUGAUUUGUCAGUUUCCUGGGACAUCAUUCAGUGACCCACUCAGUCUUCUUCAAUCAACCAUUGUUAUGUUCUGGAAAGUGCUAAGAUAUGAAUCCAGAGAACCAGAAGCAGUGCUUAUAAGCUUGGGAGACUGUAACUCUGAAUGGCUUAGAGCUCAUCUUUCUUGGCCAAAUAAAAGAUUUCUUGAGAAAUUUCAACUGAGCAUUUUGUGGCUGUUGAAUGUGUAACAGGAAAUAUUUUGAUCUGAGUAUGAAGAACAUUUUUGUUUUCUCUUAUUUGCAUGUAGACUGGGGAAAUUGCGGAGCUCUUUCCCUUGAAGGCAAG
Molecule: long non-coding RNA, 599 nt
Filed under: Numida meleagris (helmeted guineafowl)
Lineage: Eukaryota; Metazoa; Chordata; Aves; Galliformes; Numididae
Description: lncRNA (ENSNMEG00000008753.1)
Source: RNAcentral